UCCUCUCAUCUCCCACUUUUUUCCUCCCCCUCUCUCAACCAUUCUUGGAAGAAGAAGGAACUAAUUAACAUCUGUAGAAGAGCCAGUGUGCACGUCAAAAAAAGCAAUCACCUAUUUAGGAGUUAUCUUCCUGCUGAGGGAGGUUUUGAUCUGUGACGACAACGAGGAAAAGGAAUCUGG
Molecule: long non-coding RNA, 180 nt
Organism: Etheostoma spectabile (orangethroat darter)
Lineage: Eukaryota; Metazoa; Chordata; Actinopteri; Perciformes; Percidae
Exons: 4
Source: RefSeq, a predicted model, not a curated record